This is a long non-coding RNA of Girardinichthys multiradiatus, 1232 nucleotides long. RefSeq lists it as uncharacterized. The transcript is spliced from 2 exons. The record is from RefSeq and is a predicted model, not a curated record. NCBI's taxonomy places the organism in Eukaryota, Metazoa, Chordata, Actinopteri, Cyprinodontiformes, Goodeidae.
GGCUUUUUUUAAUGUAGUUAAAAGAGUUAUUCAUCUGGCAGUACACCAACUAAUCCACUGAGGUUUAACUAAAGAAAUGAUUGCAUUAAUAUUUAUUAUAUUCAGAGCAUUUCCUGUUAUUUUUCCCCCAUUGUCUCUGUGGUUAAUCCACCAAUAAUCUUGAGGUUUUUGACUGUACUAAAUGAAACGGGAUCAUAUGAGUGACUUCGAUAUGAUAGCAGUAAAGACGUGUGAGUCACAACUUGACUUUAUCAUCGUAGCCCUCCAUGUUAGAGCAUUUCACAUAAAGUAUUUUUGAAUUGAAUUGAAUUUAAAGCACCCUCUUACUUUCUUUUUUUUAUUAUUAUAGUAGCAUAAUUUCAACCUGAAAUAUCCAACCCUAAAUUCUAGUCUAUUUAUUUAGUCAAGAAAAAAUGCUUUUUUUACAUGCACUCAUGUACAUUGGUCAUUGGUACAUUUUUACUAAUACUUUGUGUACACCCCUUUUGCCAACGGGUAGCCCUUAGCCGUAUGAUAUUGCACAAGGUUGGAGCAUGCGGAGAGAGAGAGAGAGAAAGGAAGCUUUGACAAUUUUAUUUGCAAAAUCUCUGGAUUGUCCAGAGUCCUUGGGGCUCUCUUAUGCAAGACACACAAGGUUGGAGCAUGCAGAGAGAGAGAGAGAGAAAGGAAACUUUGACCAUUUUAUUUGCAAAAUCUCUCUGGAUUGUCCAGAGUCCUUGAGCUUUCUUAUGAAAGCCUCUCAUCAUAUCAGCCCAUUAUUUAAACAUUUUUUCAUAUGAUUUAGGCCAUAGAAUAAGGCUGAUUUUGUGUCUGGUUUUAAUUUGGCUAUUUAUUUUUUGGUCAACUAUUCCUGCUGAAAUCUCAAAUGAUGACCCAUUUCAGUGUUCUGUCAGAAGCCAACAUAUUUGUACUUAAAACAUUCUGAUAUGUUCAUGGUACUAUGCACUCUUAACAAGGUUCCCAGGACAGUUGGAAGUAAAAGAGGCCCACAGCAUCACAGUUUCUCAACCAUACUUUACAUUUCACAAUGACUAAAGCUACAUUUCCACAUUCAUCCUUUGUUUUACAGCAGUGUUGUCCAACUUUUUUGUCAUGUGGGCCAAAAUCCUCAAGUUAAAUGGACUCGCAGGUCAAAAAGAAAUAUAUUUUAAUAAAACAAAAAGAUCUGAUUGUGAAAAAUUACAUUUUCUACCUGCUCAACAAAAAAUAAAGCCUGCAAUAUUUUCAUUCAA